UUAACACAUGCAACUCGAGCGGUAAGGCCCUUCGAGGUACACGAGCGGCGAACGGGUGAGUAACACGUGGGUGAUCUGCCCUGCACUUCGGGAUAAGCCUGGGAAACUGGGUCUAAUACCGGAUAUGACCUUUGGCUGCAUGGCUGAGGGUGGAAAGGUUUACUGGUGCAGGAUGGGCCCGCGGCCUAUCAGCUUGUUGGUGGGGUAAUGGCCUACCAAGGCGACGACGGGUAGCCGACCUGAGAGGGUGACCGGCCACACUGGGACUGAGACACGGCCCAGACUCCUACGGGAGGCAGCAGUGGGGAAUAUUGCACAAUGGGCGAAAGCCUGAUGCAGCGACGCCGCGUGAGGGAUGACGGCCUUCGGGUUGUAAACCUCUUUCAGCAGGGACGAAGCGAAAGUGACGGUACCUGCAGAAGAACCACCGGCCAACUACGUGCCAGCAGCCGCGGUAAUACGUAGGGUGCAAGCGUUGUCCGGAAUUACUGGGCGUAAAGAGCUCGUAGGCGGUUUGUCGCGUCGUCUGUGAAAACUCANAGCUCAACCUCGAGCUUGCAGGCGAUACGGGCAGACUUGAGUACUGCAGGGGAGACUGGAAUUCCUGGUGUAGCGGUGAAAUCCGCAGAUAUCAGGAGGAACACC
RNAcentral lists this ribosomal RNA (645 nucleotides) under Rhodococcus opacus. RNAcentral's name for it is "bacterial SSU rRNA". It matches the Rfam family "Bacterial small subunit ribosomal RNA", at positions 48 to 710 of the family's 1533-position model. The record is from RNAcentral. Lineage: Bacteria; Bacillati; Actinomycetota; Actinomycetes; Mycobacteriales; Nocardiaceae.